RNAcentral lists this ribosomal RNA (1587 nucleotides) under marine metagenome. RNAcentral describes it as "bacterial LSU rRNA". It matches the Rfam family "Archaeal large subunit ribosomal RNA", at positions 1404 to 2987 of the family's 2987-position model. The record is from RNAcentral.
GUACUGUAAGAAUCAGUACCACUGAAAGGGCAAGGGUUCCUUGGCAAUGCAAAUCAGCCAAGGGUUAGUCGAACCUAACUUAAUCCAUAAAUUGGAUUAUGGGAAAGGGAGAAAGGUUAAUAUUCCUUUACUAUUCAAGUAUGCGUGGCGACACAAGCUUCAUUCCCGACAUUUCCGAUUAAGCUAACACAAAUCUUCGUUUGUGUCAACCGGAAUGAAUCAGAGGAGUAUUAUAAUAAUGAGAAUCUGAUUAAAUCUGGGAUGAGUAUCCUCAUGGGAUAUUUAGCUGAUAUCCGGAAUCCGUGAAAAGGGAAUAGAGAAAGAACUUGAAUAUUCGUACCAAGAACCAGCACAGGUGCCCCAAGGUGAGAAGCCUAAAGUGUGAAGGAUUAAUCUAAUUGAGGGAAUUCGGCAAAUUAGCCCCGUACCUUCGGUAUAAGGGGUCCCUGCAAUUGUUGCUAAGCAAUUGAUUGCAGGGUGCAAUGACUAAGGGGGUCCGACUGUUUAACAAAAACUUAACUGACUGCUAGCCUGUAAAGGUGUGUAUAGUCGGUGACACCUGCCCAGUGUCUGUACUUUAAACUUCCGUCCAAGGAAGCUAAGAGCAGGUAAACGGCGGGGGUAACUAUAACUCUCUUAAGGUAACGUAAUACCUUGUCGUUUGAUUGACGACUUGCAUGAAUGGUGUAACGAGAUCCCCACUGUCCCCAAUUAGAAUCCUCCGAACACUCCAUACUGGUGCAAAGGCCAGUGAUUUCCAGUGGGAAGCGAAGACCCCGUGAAACUUUACUACAGCCUAUUGUUGCGAUGUGGGUUUUGAUGUGUAGUGUAGGUGGUAGUUGCUAAAGCUUGGCCGUCAGGUUAAGUGUAGGCGACAAUGAAACACCACUCUUCAAAACCUAUAUUGCUUAAUCCGGAAGGAUAACAUCGGUAGGUGGACAGUUUGGCUGGGGUGGCACCCUGUUGAAACAAUAUCAACAGGACCCAAAGGUUGGCUCAAGCGGGUCAGAAAUCCGCAGUAGAGUGUAAGGAUAAAAGCCAGCCUGACUGUAUUCAUAAUAAGAUUGAAUGCAGGCAUGAAAAUGUGGUCUAGCGAACCUCUAUACCCUCCUUGAUGGGGGUUAGAGAUGAUCAAAAAGUUACUCCGGGGAUAACAGAGUUGUCGCGCCUGAGAGUUCAUAUCGACGGCGCGGCUUGCUACAUCGAUGUCGGCUCUACCUAUCCUGGACGUGCAGAAGCGUCCAAGGGUGCGGGUGUUCACCGAUUAAAAGGUAUCGUGAGCUGGGUUCAGAACGCUGUGAGGCAGUUUGUUUGAUAUCUACUGGAGAUGUUUGAUGUCUGAAAGGAAUAACCUUCUAGUACGAGAGGAACGAAGGUUAGAGGCCUCUGGUCUACCUGUUAUCUGACAAGGUAAGCAGGGCAGCUACGCCUUAUAGGAUAAGUGCUGAAAGCAUCUAAGCACGAAGCCUUCCUUGAAAAGAGACAUCAUAGAACUCUCGCAAAACACGAGUUUAAUGGGACAGGAGUGUAAGUACGAAGGCAACGACGUAUUCAGCUCGCUGUUUCCAACAGUUCAAUCUUUUAGUU